This 445-nucleotide ribosomal RNA is filed under the name Ototyphlonemertes santacruzensis. Its description in RNAcentral is "partial 16S ribosomal RNA". It matches the Rfam family "Bacterial large subunit ribosomal RNA", at positions 1833 to 2597 of the family's 2925-position model. Lineage: Eukaryota; Metazoa; Nemertea; Enopla; Monostilifera; Ototyphlonemertidae. The record is from RNAcentral.
GCUUUUUGUUUUUUAAAAGUUUGUUCUGCUCGGUGUUGAUAAACAGCCGCGGUAAUUUGACCGUGCAAAGGUAGCAUAAUCAUUUGCCUUAUAAUUGGGGGCUGGAAUGAAUGAAUAMACAAAAGUUUUUCUUUAUUUUUAUAGGUUAAAUAAUUUUCUUUUUUGGUGAAGAAGCCGGAAUAAAAAAAGGGACAAGAAGACCCUUUUGAGCUUUAUUUAUWGUUUUUUAAAUUUAAKUAAAUUUGGUUGGGGCGACCUAGGAAUAUCUUCCUUUAUAAUAAUGAUCCKCAWAUAGCGAUWAAAAGAMUAAGUUACCAAAGGGAUAACAGCGUAAUUUUUUUUUAGAGUUCUUAUUAAAAGAAAAGAUUGCGACCUCGAUGUUGACUUAUAAUUUCCUUUUGGUGUAGCCGCUGUUAGGGUGGGUCUGUUCGACCUUUAAAAUUUU